CUGGCGAGCUUGGUGUGGCGAGUCCUAUAGCAUCGACAAGUCACGUGGUACAUCUAUGGAAGAGUGACCAACUUACUUAAUGAACAUGCAAUAAUAUAAUAAAUGAAGUUUUUAGUAGAAUAAUAAAUAGAAAACAAUUAUUAUCAACAGCUUUUUAAAUGAAAUUUUUAUUUAUCAUUGAAAUAUAUUGUGCCUCAGGCUUAAUGAUAUAAUGAAAUAUACAAUGUAUGGACUUUUGUUUUCUUUUCAGGAUAAGUUUUUAGGUUAUUUCUAUUUUAUGCGGUUUCGAUAUCGGUUCUCGGUUGUUAGGUAGACUGUUUUUUAAAAGUUUUGAGUUAAAAGUUUUAAAAAUUAAAUUUUUUGCUAACAACAGCAUCAAUUUCAUUUUUAUUCACUACAGAAACUUGAAUAAAUAAUUUUCCACAUUCCUUAUUUCAGUUUCUUAAACAGGAUGUUGGAAGUUGAAUGUUAUAAGUUUAAGCCGCGUUUACACCGGAGUUGGCAAUAAAAAAUUGCCAAUUUCGAUUGCAGACGCUAGUUGCCGAUGGAAGUCUGCAACUUGUACUUGCAACCUGGGCACAUAGUUUGUUUUUAGGUCUGCAACCUGCAACUUGCAACUAAACUUUACAGUAUGUAGAAAAUCAAAUCAGACAGUAUGUAGAAUGUCGAGUGCUGAAGAGGUUGUUCUUGCUGCGGCAGCAUGUGUUAUUUUAUCAAAAUGUAGAAAACCAAGAAGAUACUGGGUUCGACCUUCAUUGCAGGCAAGAGCAAAGUAUAGCGGCAGCGAUCUUUUAAAUGAUUUAAAUCGAGAUGAUACAGAUCCUUUGAUGGGAGAAUUGAGAUGCGAUGGCAGUGUAAAAAACUUUUUAAGAAUGUCAAGUGACGAUUUUGAAAGUUUAAUUGUUGGUAUUGGACACAUAAUUAGUAAACAGGAUACUAACUACAGGAAAGCAAUUCCAGUGCGAGAAAGAUUGGCUAUUACAUUGCGCUUUUUGGCGAGUGGCGACUUUUAUACUAGUAUCAGUUAUUUGUUUAAAGUUUUCAAAAGUGUGAUAUCUAUUUUAGUGCCAGAGAUUUGUGAGGCUGUUAUAGGUUUCCUGAAGGAUAACAUACAGGUGAGCAAAGAAAGAAAAUUACUAAAUAUUGUUAUUUUUAGAUUCCUUUUAUUUGUUUACAUUGUGCACUGAGUUGAAUAAAUCUAGACAAAAGUUAAUUGUUAAUAAAUCUAGACAAAAAAAGUUGCAACCUGGUAGUGACUUGUUAAUAAAAUAUGAACACAAAGUUAAGUUAAUGUUCCAAAGUAACACAAUUCAUAAAAUUAGAAAUAAAUGUAUACAUCAAAAAAACUCCAAAUCAAACAAAGAAACUCUAUAGCUUAAGAAAUAUAUAGCUUAGCUUGAGUAAUGUAUAGCUUAGCUUACAUUAUAGCUUACAUUGCACUAGCACAAACAACAAAACACAACAAGUCACGACGACUAGCCUGCUUGAACUGAGGAACUGACGCAGCGCGACCACGUGGAGCCAACAGGCGGGAGGGGUAGCGGGGUAGUUGCAGACUCAAGUUGCAACUCAAGUUAGCGCUGCAACUCGCAUUGCCAACCGGGGUUGGCAACCGCCUUUGAUCUUUACCGACUCCAGUCGGAAAACCAAAUUUCGAUUGCCAACUCGCAAAAUCGGUCUCCAACUACGGUUGGCAAUGCGAGUUGCAGUUGUUUUAAUGCGUGCAACUCAAAAUUGCCGAUAAAUGUCGGCAAUCAUUGGUUGCCAACUCCGGUGUAAACGCGGCUUUAUCCAUCACACUAGAAGGUAAUGAGAAUUGGACGUAACGUACCAGAGGCUGAGCAGGACAGGAACUGGCCUUGCCCAUCUUUAUGCGAGAUUCUUCAACAAGCUGCCAAUAGCAAGAGACCUGUCGACCAGGCGAUUCAAGGGCGCACUGAGGGAAUUGCUGGUGGAGAACCCAUUGUAUUCCAUCAGUCAAACCCGAAUGAAUUUGAAUAAUUGGAGUUUGUUGUAGAUCAAGAGUUAAUGGAUAUGAUGGAAAUAAGAAUGAGACAGACGCAGGAGUUGAGUCCUGGAAUGAGCACAGCUGGAGGCCAAGCUUGAAAUGAACGUUUCUGUUCGAAAGAUGUAAACAUAAACAAACAAUUCAUGUAUAUCGAUUAUAUCAGUUGACAAUAAUUAAAAUUUCUCGACAUAUUAUUACUUAUCAUUAUUUAAAUUUGAAUUGUAUUAUUUGUAUUGAAUUAUAUUAAAGAUUGUAAUAUUUUUGAA
This 2274-nucleotide long non-coding RNA is filed under the name Nilaparvata lugens (brown planthopper). Its description in RNAcentral is "uncharacterized LOC111045737". The record is from RNAcentral. Lineage: Eukaryota; Metazoa; Arthropoda; Insecta; Hemiptera; Delphacidae.